GAAGGUGCUGCAUGGUUGUCGUCAGCUCGUGCCGUGAGGUGUCGGCUUAAGUGCCAUAACGAGCGCAACCCUUGUUGUCAGUUACUAACAGGUUCCGCUGAGGACUCUGACAAGACUGCCAUCGUAAGAUGUGAGGAAGGUGGGGAUGACGUCAAAUCAGCACGGCCCUUACGUCCGGGGCUACACACGUGUUACAAUGGGGGGUACAGAGGGCCGCUACCACGCGAGUGGAUGCCAAUCCCAAAAACCUCUCUCAGUUCGGACUGGAGUCUGCAACCCGACUCCACGAAGCUGGAUUCGCUAGUAAUCGCGCAUCAGCCACGGCGCGGUGAAUACGUUCCCGGGCCUUGUACACACCGCCCGUCAAGCCAUGGGAGCCGGGGGUACCUGAAGUGCGUAACCGCGAGGAGCGCCCUAGGGUAAAACUGGCGACUGGGGCUAAGUCGUAACAAGGUAGCCGUACCGGAAGGUGCGGCUGGAUCACCUC
This 487-nucleotide ribosomal RNA is filed under the name uncultured bacterium. RNAcentral's name for it is "bacterial SSU rRNA". It matches the Rfam family "Bacterial small subunit ribosomal RNA", at positions 1034 to 1529 of the family's 1533-position model. The record is from RNAcentral.